UAAAAUGCACUUCCUGGUUGCUUCAGGGAGCAUAUUUCAAAUACAUUUUCCCCUUUUCCCUGGGGGCAGUGCCAGCAGGAGCCCCCUAAGAAUCAGAUUGGCUGGAGCAGCUUGAUUAGCAGCUGUUCCAGCUAGUAAGACCAAAAGAGGAAGUUGAAGGCAGGGGAGGAGGGGCUGGAGGAAGUUCCCUGUGGAGUAUUCUCUGGUUGUUAGUAUUGGGUUUGAAGACCCAGGUGAGGUUGUUUACUGGUCCUCCAGCAAAAAAUACAUCUGUGCAGGUGCUGUGAAAAUGGGUUCCUGUUGGACAGUGCUAGUGACAUUAGGAGUGAUAAACAACACAAUACUCAGACCAGGCCAUGGUCUGAAGAUAGAAAAUGCAACAGACUUGCUGAAGCUAAGUAGGUCAGCUUCUGGACUGUGCCUGGAUGUGGAAUUGCUUGGGAGCCCUCCUGUGUA
Molecule: long non-coding RNA, 456 nt
Organism: Hemicordylus capensis (graceful crag lizard)
Lineage: Eukaryota; Metazoa; Chordata; Lepidosauria; Squamata; Cordylidae
Exons: 3
Source: RefSeq, a predicted model, not a curated record